GGUUGGGCUUGGAGCUAGGAUUUUUCUGAGUGCAAUGAACCAACUCCCGAGUCUCUAGGAUGUUCCUAAAAAAAUUUGAUUUUUUCCCAUAGGAAUGCAUGGGUUAGGGUUAGGGUUAGGGUUGGAGCUAGGGUUAGGGUUAGGGUUAGGGUUAGGGUUGGAGUUAGGGUUAGUGUUGGAGCUAGGGUUAGGGUUGGGCUUGGAGCUAGGAUUUUUCUGAGUGCACUGAACCAACUCCCGAGUCUCUAGGACAUUCCUAAAAAAAUUUGAUUUUUUCCCAUAGGAAUGCAUGGGUUAGGGUUAGGGUUAGGGUUAGGGUUGGAGCUAGGGUUAGGGUUAGGGUUAGGGUUGGAGUUAGGGUUAGUGUUGGAGCUAGGGUUAGGGUUGGGCUUGGAGCUAGGAUUUUUCUGAGUGCACUGAACCAACUCCCGAGUCUCUAGGACAUUCCUAAAAAAAUUUGAUUUUUUCCCAUAGGAAUGCAUGGGUUAGGGUUAUGGUUAGGGUUAGGGUUGGAGCUAGGGUUAGGGUUAGGGUUAGGGUUGGAGUUAGGGUUAGUGCUGGAGCUAGGGUUAGGGUUGGGCUUGGAGCUAGGAUUUUUCUGAGUGCAAUGAACCAACUCCCGAGUCUCUAGGACGUUCCUAAAAAAAUUUGAUUUUUUCCCAUAGGAAUGCAUGGGUUAGGGUUAGGGUUAGGGUUGGAGCUAGGGUUAGGGUUAGGGUUAGGGUUGGAGUUAGGGUUAGUGUUGGAGCUAGGGUUAGGGUUGGGCUUGGAGCUAGGAUUUUUCUGAGUGCAAUGAACCAACUCCCGAGUCUCUAGGAUGUUCUUAAAAAAAUUUGAUUUUUUCCCAUAGGAAUGCAUGGGUUAGGGUUAGGGUUAGGGUUGGAGCUAGGGUUAGGGUAAGGGUUAGGGUUGGAGUUAGGGUUAGUGUUGGAGCUAGGGUUAGGGUUGGGCUUGGAGCUAGGAUUUUUCUGAGUGCACUGAACCAACUCCCGAGUCUCUAGGACAUUCCUAAAAAAAUUUGAUUUUUUCCCAUAGGAAUGCAUGGUUUAGGGUUAUGGUUAGGGUUAGGGUUGGAGCUAGGGUUAGGGUUAGGGUUGGAGUUAGGGUUAGUGUUGGAGCUAGGGUUAGGGUUGGGCUUGGAGCUAGGACUUUUCUGAGUGCAAUGAACUAACUCCCGAGUCUCUAGGACGUUCCCUAAAAAAAUUUGAUUUUUUCCCAUAGGAAUGCAUGGGUUAGGGUUAGGGUUAGGGUUGGAGCUAGGGUUAGGGUUAGGGUUAGGGUUGGAGUUAGGGUUAGUGUUGGAGCUAGGGUUAGGGUUGGGCUUGGAGCUAGGAUUUUUCUGAGUGCACUGAACCAACUCCCGAGUCUCUAGGACAUUCCUAAAAAAAUUUGAUUUUUUCCCAUAGGAAUGCAUGGGUUAGGGUUAUGGUUAGGGUUAGGGUUGGAGCUAGGGUUAGGGUUAGGGUUAGGGUUGGAGUUAGGGUUAGUGCUGGAGCUAGGGUUAGGGUUGGGCUUGGAGCUAGGAUUUUUCUGAGUGCAAUGAACCAACUCCCGAGUCUCUAGGACGUUCCUAAAAAAAUUUGAUUUUUUCCCAUAGGAAUGCAUGGGUUAGGGUUAGGGUUAGGGUUAGGGUUGGAGCUAGGGUUAGGGUUAGGGUUAGGGUUGGAGUUAGGGUUAGUGUUGGAGCUAGGGUUAGGGUUGGGCUUGGAGCUAGGAUUUUUCUGAGUGCAAUGAACCAACUCCCGAGUCUCUAGGAUGUUCUUAAAAAAAUUUGAUUUUUUCCCAUAGGAAUGCAUGGGUUAGGGUUAGGGUUAGGGUUGGAGCUAGGGUUAGGGUUAGGGUUAGGGUUGGAGUUAGGGUUAGUGUUGGAGCUAGGGUUAGGGUUGGGCUUGGAGCUAGGAUUUUUCUGAGUGCAAUGAACCAACUCCCGAGUCUCUAGGAUGUUCUUAAAAAAAUUUGAUUUUUUCCCAUAGGAAUGCAUGGGUUAGGGUUAGGGUUAGGGUUGGAGCUAGGGUUAGGGUUAGGGUUAGGGUUGGAGUUAGGGUUAGUGUUGGAGCUAGGGUUAGGGUUGGGCUUGGAGCUAGGAUUUUUCUGAGUGCACUGAACCAACUCCCGAGUCUCUAGGACAUUCCUAAAAAAAUUUGAUUUUUUCCCAUAGGAAUGCAUGGUUUAGGGUUAUGGUUAGGGUUAGGGUUGGAGCUAGGGUUAGGGUUAGGGUUGGAGUUAGGGUUAGUGUUGGAGCUAGGGUUAGGGUUGGGCUUGGAGCUAGGACUUUUCUGAGUGCAAUGAACCAACUCCCGAGUCUCUAGGACGUUCCCUAAAAAAAUUUGAUUUUUUCCCAUAGGAAUGCAUGGGUUAGGGUUAGGGUUAGGGUUGGAGCUAGGGUUAGGGUUAGGGUUAGGGUUGGAGUUAGGGUUAGUGUUGGAGCUAGGGUUAGGGUUGGGCUUGGAGCUAGGAUUUUUAUGAGUGCACUGAACCAACUCCCGAGUCUCUAGGACAUUCCUAAAAAAAUUUGAUUUUUUCCCAUAGGAAUGCAUGGGUUAGGGUUAUGGUUAGGGUUAGGGUUGGAGCUAGGGUUAGGGUUAGGGUUAGGGUUGGAGUUAGGGUUAGUGUUGGAGCUAGGGUUAGGGUUGGGCUUGGAGCUAGGAUUUUUCUGAGUGCAAUGAACCAACUCCCGAGUCUCUAGGACGUUCCUAAAAAAAUUUGAUUUUUUCCCAUAGGAAUGCAUGGGUUAGGGUUAGGGUUAGGGUUGGAGCUAGGGUUAGGGUUAGGGUUAGGGUUAGGGUUGGAGUUAGGGUUAGUGUUGGAGCUAGGGUUAGGGUUGGGCUUGGAGCUAGGAUUUUUCUGAGUGCACUGAACCAACUCCCGAGUCUCUAGGACAUUCCUAAAAAAAUUUGAUUUUUUCCCAUAGGAAUGCAUGGGUUAGGGUUAUGGUUAGGGUUAGGGUUGGAGCUAGGGUUAGGGUUAGGGUUAGGGUUGGAGUUAGGGUUAGUGUUGGAGCUAGGGUUAGGGUUGGGCUUGGAGCUAGGAUUUUUCUGAGUGCAAUGAACCAACUCCCGAGUCUCUAGGAUGUUCCUAAAAAAAUUUGAUUUUUUCCCAUAGGAAUGCAUGGGUUAGGGUUAGGGUUAGGGUUGGAGCUAGGGUUAGGGUUAGGGUUAGGGUUAGGGUUGGAGUUAGGGUUAGUGUUGGAGCUAGGGUUAGGGUUGGGCUUGGAGCUAGGAUUUUUCUGAGUGCACUGAACCAACUCCCGAGUCUCUAGGACAUUCCUAAAAAAAUUUGAUUUUUUCCCAUAGGAAUGCAUGGGUUAGGGUUAUGGUUAGGGUUAGGGUUGGAGCUAGGGUUAGGGUUAGGGUUAGGGUUGGAGUUAGGGUUAGUGUUGGAGCUAGGGUUAGGGUUGGGCUUGGAGCUAGGAUUUUUCUGAGUGCAAUGAACCAACUCCCGAGUCUCUAGGACGUUCCUAAAAAAUUUGAUUUUUUCCCAUAGGAAUGCAUGGGUUAUGGUUAGGGUUAGGGUUGGAGCUAGGGUUAGGGUUAGGGUUAGGGUUGGAGUUAGGGUUAGUGUUGGAGCUAGGGUUAGGGUUGGGCUUGGAGCUAGGAUUUUUCUGAGUGCACUGAACCAACUCCCGAGUCUCUAGGACAUUCCUAAAAAAAUUUGAUUUUUUCCCAUAGGAAUGCAUGGGUUAGGGUUAUGGUUAGGGUUAGGGUUGGAGCUAGGGUUAGGGUUAGGGUUAGGGUUGGAGUUAGGGUUAGUGUUGGAGCUAGGGUUAGGGUUGGGCUUGGAGCUAGGAUUUUUCUGAGUGCACUGAACCAACUCCCGAGUCUCUAGGACAUUCCUAAAAAAAUUUGAUUUUUUCCCAUAGGAAUGCAUGGGUUAGGGUUAUGGUUAGGGUUAGGGUUGGAGCUAGGGUUAGGGUUAGGGUUAGGGUUGGAGUUAGGGUUAGUGUUGGAGCUAGGGUUAUGGUUGGGCUUGGAGCUAGGAUUUUUCUGAGUGCAAUGAACCAACUCCCGAGUCUCUAGGACGUUCCUAAAAAAAUUUGAUUUUUUCCCAUAGGAAUGCAUGGGUUAGGGUUAGGGUUAGGGUUGGAGCUAGGGUUAGGGUUAGGGUUAGGGUUAGGGUUGGAGUUAGGGUUAGUGUUGGAGCUAGGGUUAGGGUUGGGCUUGGAGCUAGGAUUUUUCUGAGUGCACUGAACCAACUCCCGAGUCUCUAGGACAUUCCUAAAAAAAUUUGAUUUUUUCCCAUAGGAAUGCAUGGGUUAGGGUUAGGGUUAGGGUUGGAGCUAGGGUUAGGGUUAGGGUUAGGGUUAGGGUUGGAGUUAGGGUUAGUGUUGGAGCUAGGGUUAGGGUUGGGCUUGGAGCUAGGAUUUUUCUGAGUGCACUGAACCAACUCCCGAGUCUCUAGGACAUUCCUAAAAAAAUUUGAUUUUUUCCCAUAGGAAUGCAUGGGUUAGGGUUAUUGUUAGGGUUAGGGUUGGAGCUAGGGUUAGGGUUAGGGUUAGGGUUAGGGUUGGAGUUAGGGUUAGUGUUGGAGCUAGGGUUAGGGUUGGGCUUGGAGCUAGGAUUUUUCUGAGUGCACUGAACCAACUCCCGAGUCUCUAGGACAUUCCUAAAAAAAUUUGAUUUUUUCCCAUAGGAAUGCAUGGGUUAGGGUUAGGGUUAGGGUUGGAGCUAGGGUUAGGGUUAGGGUUAGGGUUGGAGUUAGGGUUAGUGUUGGAGCUAGGGUUAGGGUUGGGCUUGGAGCUAGGAUUUUUCUGAGUGCACUGAACCAACUCCCGAGUCUCUGGGACAUUCCUAAAAAAAUUUGAUUUUUUCCCAUAGGAAUGCAUGGGUUAGGGUUAUGGUUAGGGUUAGGGUUGGAGCUAGGGUUAGGGUUAGGGUUAGGGUUGGAGUUAGGGUUAGUGUUGGAGCUAGGGUUAGGGUUGGGCUUGGAGCUAGGAUUUUUCUGAGUGCAAUGAACCAACUCCCGAGUCUCUUGGACUUUCCUA
This 4981-nucleotide long non-coding RNA is filed under the name Xyrichtys novacula (pearly razorfish). Lineage: Eukaryota; Metazoa; Chordata; Actinopteri; Labriformes; Labridae. The record is from RNAcentral.